CUGGGAGGACCAUCUCCUAAGGCUAAAUACUCUCUAGUGACCGAUAGUGAACCAGUACCGUGAGGGAAAGGUGAAAAGCACCCCGGAAGGGGAGUGAAAUAGAACCUGAAACCGUGUGCUUACAAGUAGUCAGAGCCCGUUAAUGGGUGAUGGCGUGCCUUUUGUAGAAUGAACCGGCGAGUUACGAUUUGAUGCAAGGUUAAGCAGUAAAUGUGGAGCCGUAGCGAAAGCGAGUCUGAAUAGGGCGUUUAGUAUUUGGUCGUAGACCCGAAACCAGGUGAUCUACCCUUGGUCAGGUUGAAGUUCAGGUAACACUGAAUGGAGGACCGAACCGACUUACGUUGAAAAGUGAGCGGAUGAACUGAGGGUAGCGGAGAAAUUCCAAUCGAACCUGGAGAUAGCUGGUUCUCUCCGAAAUAGCUUUAGGGCUAGCCUCAAGUGAUGAUUAUUGGAGGUAGAGCACUGUUUGGACGAGGGGCCCCUCUCGGGUUACCGAAUUCAGACAAACUCCGAAUGCCAAUUAAUUUAACUUGGGAGUCAGAACAUGGGUGAUAAGGUCCGUGUUCGAAAGGGAAACAGCCCAGACCACCAGCUAAGGUCCCAAAAUAUAUGUUAAGUGGAAAAGGAUGUGGCGUUGCCCAGACAACUAGGAUGUUGGCUUAGAAGCAGCCAUCAUUUAAAGAGUGCGUAAUAGCUCACUAGUCGAGUGACACUGCGCCGAAAAUGUACCGGGGCUAAACAUAUUACCGAAGCUGUGGAUUGUCCUUUGGACAAUGGUAGGAGAGCGUUCUAAGGGCGUUGAAGCAUGAUCGUAAGGACAUGUGGAGCGCUUAGAAGUGAGAAUGCCGGUGUGAGUAGCGAAAGACGGGUGAGAAUCCCGUCCACCGAUUGACUAAGGUUUCCAGAGGAAGGCUCGUCCGCUCUGGGUUAGUCGGGUCCUAAGCUGAGGCCGACAGGCGUAGGCGAUGGAUAACAGGUUGAUAUUCCUGUACCACCUAUAAUCGUUUUAAUCGAUGGGGGGACGC
RNAcentral lists this ribosomal RNA (1025 nucleotides) under Staphylococcus aureus. RNAcentral describes it as "partial 23S ribosomal RNA". It matches the Rfam family "Bacterial large subunit ribosomal RNA", at positions 444 to 1475 of the family's 2925-position model. Lineage: Bacteria; Bacillati; Bacillota; Bacilli; Caryophanales; Staphylococcaceae. The record is from RNAcentral.